GCCGGGCAUGGUGGCUCAUGCCUGUAAUCCCAGCACUUUGGGAGGCUGAGGUGGGUGGAUCACCUGAGGUCAGGAGUUUGAGACCAGCCUGGCCAACAUGGUGAAACCCUGUCUCUA
RNAcentral lists this non-coding RNA (117 nucleotides) under Pan paniscus (pygmy chimpanzee). RNAcentral also lists the same sequence under 1 other name. Lineage: Eukaryota; Metazoa; Chordata; Mammalia; Primates; Hominidae. The record is from Rfam by way of RNAcentral.